Phragmites australis (common reed) is the source of this 509-nucleotide long non-coding RNA. RefSeq lists it as uncharacterized. Lineage: Eukaryota; Viridiplantae; Streptophyta; Magnoliopsida; Poales; Poaceae. The record is from RefSeq and is a predicted model, not a curated record. The transcript is spliced from 2 exons.
GCAAGCUCAACAACCAGCUCAGCAGCUAGCUAUCCUCCUCUCUUGAGACAAACAAGUGAGCACACCAUGCUUCGGGCCAAGAACCCUGUAGCGACCGAGGGUGAGGUGACGAUAGAAAAGGUGGAGAAGAUUAAACCUGUCGGCGAGGUGGUCACCAGACCACCGCCAGAGCAGAUAACGAUGGUGGGGCAGAUGGAUUCUGGUGUUGCCGUCUCUGACAUGAAGAAGGUGCCGAUCGUGUUGUCAGCGAAAUACAUCGACGACUACAUCGCGAGGAAGAAGCAGCAGUUUGAUCAGCCAUGAGCUUAGUUUAAGUUAGUUUGAGAAGAGAUGGAAAGUCUAAAAGCUCAACACCGGUGCUCAUGAUCUAAUGUUCUAUCUAAUACUCGGAAUACAGCAUUAUGUUAUGGAAUUAGUAUAUCUAUAAGACUGCUUUAGUUAUGGACAAGCAUAUGUACCAUGUGAGCUGUUAGCACUAUGAAGACUGAUAUAUAACAUGACAUUAUUAA